Arachis duranensis is the source of this 107-nucleotide small nucleolar RNA. The record is from RefSeq and is a predicted model, not a curated record. NCBI's taxonomy places the organism in Eukaryota, Viridiplantae, Streptophyta, Magnoliopsida, Fabales, Fabaceae.
AAACAUGUCUGGGGGCAUUUCCUUGUCAAAUCUUUAUAUCUCUCCCAAGUUUCAUAGAGAGUCUCCCCAUCUUGUUGUCUAAAAGUCUGGACUUCAGGUCUCAGUCU